This 303-nucleotide ribosomal RNA is filed under the name Rhizobiaceae bacterium. Its description in RNAcentral is "partial 23S ribosomal RNA". It matches the Rfam family "Bacterial large subunit ribosomal RNA", at positions 2605 to 2925 of the family's 2925-position model. The record is from RNAcentral. Lineage: Bacteria; Pseudomonadati; Pseudomonadota; Alphaproteobacteria; Hyphomicrobiales; Rhizobiaceae.
CUGGGUUCAGAACGUCGCGAGACAGUUUGGUCCCUAUCUGCCGUGGGCGUCGAUACUUGAGAGGAGUUGUCCCUAGUACGAGAGGACCGGGAUGAACAUGCCUCUGGUGUACCUGUCGUGGCGCCAGCCGCGCAGCAGGGUAGCUAUGCAUGGACGGGAUAACCGCUGAAAGCAUCUAAGCGGGAAGCCUCCCUCAAGAUAAGGUAUCAUCGAGUCGUGGUAGACCACCACGUUGAUAGGCUGGAUGUGGAAGCGCGGUAACGUGUGGAGCUAACCAGUCCUAAUAACUCUGUUCAUGCUUGA